UACGUAGGGUGCGAGCGUUAAUCGGAAUUACUGGGCGUAAAGGGUGCGCAGGCGGCUUUGCAAGACAGGUGUGAAAUCCCCGGGCUCAACCUGGGAACUGCAUUUGUGACUGCAAGGCUAGAGUACGGCAGAGGGGGAUGGAAUUCCGCGUGUAGCAGUGAAAUGCGUAGAUAUGCGGAGGAACACCAAUGGCGAAGGCAAUCCCCUGGGCCUGUACUGACGCUGAUGCACGAAAGCGUGGGGAGCAAACAGG
RNAcentral lists this ribosomal RNA (253 nucleotides) under uncultured bacterium. RNAcentral describes it as "partial 16S ribosomal RNA". It matches the Rfam family "Bacterial small subunit ribosomal RNA", at positions 524 to 776 of the family's 1533-position model. The record is from RNAcentral.